Molecule: ribosomal RNA, 253 nt
Filed under: uncultured bacterium
Lineage: Bacteria
Description: partial 16S ribosomal RNA
Rfam family: Bacterial small subunit ribosomal RNA
Source: RNAcentral
AGCGAACGCUGGCGGCGUGCCUAACACAUGCAAGUCGAGCGCGGGCAUUUCGGGGGUAACCCCGGGAUGUGCUGAGCGGCGGACGAGUGAGUAAUACGUGGACAACCUGCCUUAAAGCUUGGGAUAACUCCGGGAAACUGGAGCUAAUACCGGAUAAGACCACGGUGUCUAUGGAUGCUGAGGUAAAAGGCGGCCAGGAAACUGGCUGUUGCUUAAAGAUGGGGUCCACGUCCCAUCAGGUAGUUGGUGAGGU